This 440-nucleotide ribosomal RNA is filed under the name uncultured bacterium. RNAcentral's name for it is "partial 16S ribosomal RNA". It matches the Rfam family "Bacterial small subunit ribosomal RNA", at positions 338 to 795 of the family's 1533-position model. The record is from RNAcentral.
CCUACGGGGGGCAGCAGUGGGGAAUAUUGCACAAUGGGGGAAACCCUGAUGCAGCGACGCCGCGUGAGUGAAGAAGUAAUUCGUUAUGUAAAGCUCUAUCAGCAGGGAAGAAAAUGACGGUACCUGAGUAAGAAGCCCCGGCUAACUACGUGCCAGCAGCCGCGGUAAUACGUAGGGGGCAAGCGUUAUCCGGAUUUACUGGGUGGAAAGGGAGCGUAGACGGCAGUGCAAGGCUGGAGUGAAAGGCGGGGGCUCAACCCCCGGACUGCUCUGGAAACUGUACGGCUGGAGUGCAGGAGAGGUAAGUGGAAUUCCUAGUGUAGCGGUGAAAUGCGUAGAUAUUAGGAGGAACACCAGUGGCGAAGGCGGCUUACUGGACUGUAACUGACGUUGAGGCUCGAAAGCGUGGGGAGCAAACAGGAUUAGAUACCCCUGUAGUC